This 265-nucleotide ribosomal RNA is filed under the name uncultured bacterium. RNAcentral describes it as "partial 16S ribosomal RNA". It matches the Rfam family "Bacterial small subunit ribosomal RNA", at positions 793 to 1055 of the family's 1533-position model. The record is from RNAcentral.
GUCCACGCUGUAAACGAUGGGCACUAGGUGUCCGGGGUAUUGACCCCCUGGGUGCCGCAGCUAACGCAUUAAGUGCCCCGCCUGGGGAGUACGGUCGCAAGAUUAAAACUCAAAGGAAUUGACGGGGGCCCGCACAAGCGGUGGAGCAUGUGGUUCAAUUCGACGCAACGCGAAGAACCUUACCUGGGCUAGACAACGGUGGACCGUCCUAGAAAUAGGAUCUUCCCUUCGGGGACCGCCGGUUCAGGUGCUGCAUGGCUGUCGU